GCCGAAGUGGCGAAAUGGCAGACGCGCUAGCUUCAGGAGCUAGUGCCCGCAAGGGCGUGGAGGUUCGAGUCCUCUCUUCGGCACCA
Molecule: transfer RNA, 86 nt
Filed under: Candidatus Berkelbacteria bacterium
Lineage: Bacteria; Candidatus Berkelbacteria
Description: tRNA-Leu
Rfam family: tRNA
About the family: Transfer RNA (tRNA) molecules are approximately 80 nucleotides in length.
Source: RNAcentral